UACGAAGGGGGCUAGCGUUGCUCGGAAUCACUGGGCGUAAAGGGUGCGUAGGCGGGGCUUUAAGUCAGGGGGGAAAUCCUGGAGCUCAACUCCAGAACUGCCUUUGAUACUGGGUGCCUCGAGUGAGGUAGGGGCGUGCGGAACUGAUGGUGGAGCGGUGAAAUGUGUUGAUAUCAUCAGGAACUCCGGUGGCGAAAGCGGCGCGCUGGACCUUAACUGACGCUGAGGCGCGAAAGCCAGGGGAGCAAACGGG
Molecule: ribosomal RNA, 253 nt
Filed under: uncultured bacterium
Lineage: Bacteria
Description: partial 16S ribosomal RNA
Rfam family: Bacterial small subunit ribosomal RNA
Source: RNAcentral